This 454-nucleotide ribosomal RNA is filed under the name Yarrowia lipolytica. Its description in RNAcentral is "partial large subunit ribosomal RNA". It matches the Rfam family "Eukaryotic large subunit ribosomal RNA", at positions 94 to 509 of the family's 3401-position model. Lineage: Eukaryota; Fungi; Ascomycota; Dipodascomycetes; Dipodascales. The record is from RNAcentral.
UGAAGCGGCAAAAGCUCAAAUUUGAAACCCUCGGGAUUGUAAUUUGAAGAUUUGGCAUUGGAGAAAGCUAACCCAAGUUGCUUGGAAUAGUACGUCAUAGAGGGUGACAACCCCGUCUGGCUAACCGUUCUCCAUGUAUUGCCUUAUCAAAGAGUCGAGUUGUUUGGGAAUGCAGCUCAAAGUGGGUGGUAAACUCCAUCUAAAGCUAAAUACUGGUGAGAGACCGAUAGCGAACAAGUACUGUGAAGGAAAGGUGAAAAGAACUUUGAAAAGAGAGUGAAAUAGUAUGUGAAAUUGUUGAUAGGGAAGGAAAUGAGUGGAGAGUGGCCGAGGUUUCAGCCGCCCCUCGUGGGCGGUGUACUGCCGACGCCGAGUCAUCGAUAGCGAGACGAGGGUUACAAAUGGGAGCGCCUUUCGGGCGUUCUCCCCUAACCCUCCACACUGCCACCGACGA